UGGGAAGGAGAUGGUCAUGUGGCAUGAGA
This 29-nucleotide non-coding RNA is filed under the name Homo sapiens (human). The record is from RNAcentral. Lineage: Eukaryota; Metazoa; Chordata; Mammalia; Primates; Hominidae.